CCUACGGGUGGCUGCAGUGGGGAAUAUUGGACAAUGGGGGCAACCCUGAUCCAGCCAUGCCGCGUGUGUGAAGAAGGCCCUCGUGUUGUAAAGCACUUUCAGUGAGGAAGAACGCCUGGUGGUUAAUACCCAUCAGGAAAGACAUCACUCACAGAAGAAGCACCGGCUAACUCCGUGCCAGCAGCCGCGGUAAUACGGAGGGUGCGAGCGUUAAUCGGAAUUACUGGGCGUAAAGCGCGCGUAGGUGGCUUGAUAAGCCGGUUGUGAAAGCCCCGGGCUCAACCUGGGAACGGCAUCCGGAGCUGUCAAGCUAGAGUGCAGGAGAGGAAGGUAGAAUUCCCGGUGUAGCGGUGAAAUGCGUAGAGAUCGGGAGGAAUACCAGUGGCGAAGGCGGCCUUCUGGACUGACACUGACACUGAGGUGCGAAAGCGUGGGUAGCAAACAGGAUUAGAUACCCGUGUAGUC
This 465-nucleotide ribosomal RNA is filed under the name Vreelandella stevensii. RNAcentral's name for it is "partial 16S ribosomal RNA". It matches the Rfam family "Bacterial small subunit ribosomal RNA", at positions 338 to 795 of the family's 1533-position model. Lineage: Bacteria; Pseudomonadati; Pseudomonadota; Gammaproteobacteria; Oceanospirillales; Halomonadaceae. The record is from RNAcentral.